Epinephelus lanceolatus (giant grouper) is the source of this 1541-nucleotide long non-coding RNA. RefSeq lists it as uncharacterized. NCBI's taxonomy places the organism in Eukaryota, Metazoa, Chordata, Actinopteri, Perciformes, Serranidae. The record is from RefSeq and is a predicted model, not a curated record.
GAAGGCAAUCAGAGCCUCUUGGCCUGUAUCUUGGUAGAGGGUGGUGGAGCUGUUGGUCUGUGUGCAGGAUAGUGAGUUUUUAUCUCAUUCGGAUUGACCCAAGUGCUGCCAGCUGCGAAUCUCCCAGUGUUCCUUUUUAACCACGAACCAGACUGAGCAAGGCAGAGGACGAGCUCCGGGGAGUAUAUGUGGGGUCUGCACCGUGGCUUGCAUUGUGUUCAUCACAGGGUGCUCACUUGGUGGUUUAUAGUGGGGUGUACGAUAUAAUCUACCCGGCGAGGCAAGCAACCAGGAGAACACACCGUGCUGGAGGACCGUGCGCCGAUGUCCACAAGCAAGUGAUAGUGCUGGUUGGUGCCAUUGGCAAGCCUCAAAGCCAGGGGGGCCUUCUCAAGAGACAGAGGCCCACCCAUCAAUUCACCCGGAGCCAGCAACAGCAGUGGCCCCCAGCCAGGUUGUGGCAGAAGAAGCAUGACAGACAGGAGAGCAAACACGGAAUACCCAGCCACCGGCACACCUAGAGGCCACAUGUGCAUUUGGCUCCAGCCAGGGCAUCCAGGAAGGAGAGUGAGUGAGAGGUUCAGCAUCACAUGAGAGUGUGGUGACCCCUAGCCAGGUUCCAGGGGAAAGAUGCAGUCUAAGGGGGCAAGAGCCAGUGCAGGGGAUUCUCCCGUGUCGACAGAGGAGGCCACCGGCCUGGACUAGAGACUAUGACAUGUGCUGACUUGAGGACAAGUCAAGUUUAAGUGAGGGAGGAGUGUAGUGAAUGACGUUACUAGGGACUCAGUGCGUUGCUAGGGAAGAGUGUGUUGGCACUGAGGGUGAUUAGCCAAGUGAUUGCAGCUGUGAGUGUGGAGUGUGGCAGGUAAGAGUGAAAAGAGGGAGAGAGUGGCGGCAGUUCUCUCUGGGGAGCGGAGCUUGGUGAGCCCAGCCAAGCAGUGUUUGUUGUGCGCUCGAUCUCAGGGGGAGGGUGUCGUUCUCAUGCUGUUUAGGGCUACCAGCGUAGAGGCUCUCCUGCAGCCUGUGGAGUCGCCUCGCUGCCCUGGACUGGCUGGUUCCCCCACCACAGUUACUCCCAGUGGCCGUCCCGCACCAAAGCUCAGACCCCAGGGGAGGGUCUCAAACCUUGGGAAAGAUAAGUAGCUUUUUAACCAUCAUUUAUCUGUGUGUUUAAGUGUUUUCUUGUGUGUGUUAUUGUUAGUGGUUUUAACUAGGGCAGCAUUUCACUCUUAGGGAGAGCCGAGCGAGCCGCAAGCGUACCCACAGGUGCCUAAGGGAGCCCUUAGCCCAAAGUGUGAUUUGAUGUGUUUUGUAGUGCAAUAUGGUGUGAGUUGCAGUGUGUUUAUCAAGUUGCAGUACAGUGACAGUUUUGCAGUGCCUUAUGGGGUUCGUUGGCUUGUGCCCUUACACAUGCAUGUUGCUGGUCCAGGGGUGGUUCUGAGGAGAAGCCUAGGGUUCAUUCAGGAUCUCAUCUACUAGUGGAGGUGUUCCUUAAAUGAAUUUAAUUCUGUGAAAUAAAGAUUGAUUAUUGUUUGACUUAC